AGCGAUGUGCUGAUACAGGGGAGACAGAUGGACAUCUGGGUAUUAGGUGAAGGAGGGGUUGAGGUCAGGAGGAGAGGAGAGCGAUGUGUUGAUACAGGGGAGACAGAUGGACAUCUGGGUAUUAGGUGAAGGAGGGGUUGAGGUCAGGAGGUGAGGAGAGCGAUGUGCUGAUACAGGGGAGACAGAUGGACAUCUGGGUAUUAGGUGAAGGAGGGGUUGAGGUCAGGAGGAGAGGAGAGCGAUGUGCUGAUACAGGGGAGACAGAUGGACAUCUGGGUAUUAGGUGAAGGAGGGGUUGAGGUCAGGAGGUGAGGAGAGCGAUGUGCUGAUACAGGGGAGACAGAUGGACAUCUGUGGAUUAGGUGAAGGAGGGGUUGAGGUCAGGAGAGCGAUGUGCUGAUACAGGGGAGACAGAUGGACAUCUGUGGAUUAGGUGAAGGAGGGGUUGAGGUCAGGAGAGCGAUGUGUUGAUACAGGGGAGACAGAUGGACAUCUGGGUAUUAGGUGAAGGAGGGGUUGAGGUCAGGAGAGCGAUGUGCUGAUACAGGGGAGACAGAUGGACAUCUGUGGAUUAGGUGAAGGAGGGGUUGAGGUCAGGAGAGCGAUGUGCUGAUACAGGGGAGACAGAUGGACAUCUGUGGAUUAGGUGAAGGAGGGGUUGAGGUCAGGAGGAGAGGAGAGCGAUGUGCUGAUACAGGGGAGACAGAUGGACAUCUGGGUAUUAGGUGAAGGAGGGGUUGAGGUCAGGAGGAGAGGAGAGCGAUGUGCUGAUACAGGGGAGACAGAUGGACAUCUGGGUAUUAGGUGAAGGAGGGGUUGAGGUCAGGAGGAGAGGAGAGGAGAGGAUGUGUUGAUACAGGGAGACAGAUGGACAUCUGGGUAUUAGGUG
Molecule: long non-coding RNA, 889 nt
Organism: Oncorhynchus keta (chum salmon)
Lineage: Eukaryota; Metazoa; Chordata; Actinopteri; Salmoniformes; Salmonidae
Exons: 3
Source: RefSeq, a predicted model, not a curated record